This 505-nucleotide ribosomal RNA is filed under the name Pseudomonas protegens. Its description in RNAcentral is "partial 23S ribosomal RNA". It matches the Rfam family "Bacterial large subunit ribosomal RNA", at positions 317 to 830 of the family's 2925-position model. Lineage: Bacteria; Pseudomonadati; Pseudomonadota; Gammaproteobacteria; Pseudomonadales; Pseudomonadaceae. The record is from RNAcentral.
GUGGCUUUGAGAUUAGCGGCACGCUCUGGAAAGUGCGGCCAUAGUGGGUGAUAGCCCUGUACGCGAAAAUCUCUUAGUCAUGAAAUCGAGUAGGACGGGGCACGAGAAACCUUGUCUGAAUAUGGGGGGACCAUCCUCCAAGGCUAAAUACUACUGACUGACCGAUAGUGAACUAGUACCGUGAGGGAAAGGCGAAAAGAACCCCGGAGAGGGGAGUGAAAUAGAUCCUGAAACCGCAUGCGUACAAGCAGUGGGAGCAGACUUUGUUCUGUGACUGCGUACCUUUUGUAUAAUGGCUCAGCGACUUAUUUUCAGUGGCAAGCUUAACCGAAUAGGGGAGGCGUAGCGAAAGCGAGGCUUAAUAGGGCGUCUAGGCGCUGGGAAUAGACCCGAAACCGGGCGAUCUAUCCAUGGGCAGGUUGAAGGUUAGGUAACACUGACUGGAGGACCGAACCGACUACCGUUGAAAUGUUAGCGGAUGACCUGUGGAUCGGAGUGAAAGGCU